RNAcentral lists this small RNA (132 nucleotides) under Klebsiella quasipneumoniae. RNAcentral's name for it is "RtT sRNA". It matches the Rfam family "RtT RNA". Rfam says of the family: This family represents a bacterial cis-regulatory element known as RtT RNA. The record is from RNAcentral. RNAcentral also lists the same sequence under 1 other name. Lineage: Bacteria; Pseudomonadati; Pseudomonadota; Gammaproteobacteria; Enterobacterales; Enterobacteriaceae.
UAUUCUCCCCUACGGGGGAGGAUGAGAAGUUUCGACCAAGGUUCGACUCGAGCGUAGCGAGAGAACGUUGCCGCAGGCAACGGCCCGAAGGGCGAGGCGCUUUAGCGCCGAGUCAUCCUUCCCCCACUACUG